Molecule: ribosomal RNA, 1447 nt
Filed under: Thaumetopoea processionea
Lineage: Eukaryota; Metazoa; Arthropoda; Insecta; Lepidoptera; Notodontidae
Description: 16S ribosomal RNA
Source: RNAcentral
UUGGGGGAUGAUUAAUAGUAAAUAAAUAAUAAAAAAAAUUUUUAUAUUAAAAAUAUAUUUAAUGGGGGUUAAAGUAUAUUAAGAGAAAAAAUUUUUAAAUUUAUAGGGUAUUAGUAUUGUUGGGGAAUUUUGAAAUAUUUGAAAUAUUUAAUUAUUUUAAAAGUAAUUGUUAUUUAAUGUAUCUUGGGUAUCAGAGUUUAUUAAUAAUAUUUUUUGGGUAAAUAUUUCUCGAAUUUAAAAGAGAGAAUUAAUUAAUAAAGUUAUUGUUGAAAAAAUAUUUUUAAUAAUUAGUUUGAAAUGAAAUGUUAAUCGUUUUUAAAUAUAUCUAGUUUUUUUAGAAAAAAAUUUAAUUUUAAAUUUUUAAGGGGGAUUUAAAUUAUUUGUGAUUUAAUUUUUAAUAAAAAUUUUAUAUUUUAGGGGAUAAGCUUUAAAUUAGAUUUAUAUAAAUUUAAAAUAAUUAAAAUUAAAAUUUUUAUAAUUUUUAUUGUUAAUAAAUUUUAGUUUAUUAUAAAUUAAUUUUAUUAAAUUAAAAAAUUUAAUUUAUUAAAUUUUAUUUAUUUAUAAAAAAAUAUAUUUUAAUUUAAAAAAUUUAGAUAUAAUGAUAAAAUUAGUAUAUAAGUUUAAUUAGUAAAAUAUAAUUAAAAUGAUAAUUAAUUUUAAGGAAUUCGGCAAAUUUUUAUAUUCACUUGUUUAUCAAAAACAUGUCUUUUCGAUAAAUAAUUUAAAGUCUAAUCUGCCCCCUGAUUUUUAAUUAAAGGGCUGCAGUAUUUUGACUGUACAAAGGUAGCAUAAUCAAUAGUCAUUUAAUUGAUGACUUGAAUGAAGGAUUGGAUGAGAUAUAAGCUGUCUUGGUAUUUAAACAAUUAAAAUUUAAUUUUUUCAUUAAAAAGUUAAGAUAUUUUAAAAAGACGAGAAGACCCUAUAGAGUUUUAUAUUUUUUAGGGUUAGAAUUAUUUUUAAAAUUAAUAUUUAAAUUUAAAUUAAGUAUUUGGUUGGGGUGAUUAGGAAAUAUGAAGAACUUUUUUAUUAUUUAAACAUAAAUUAUUGGUUAAAUGAUCCAAUUCUAUUGAUUAUAAGAUAAAAUUACCUUAGGGAUAACAGCGUAAUUUUUUUUUUUAGUUCGUAUAAAAAAAAAAGUUUGCGACCUCGAUGUUGGAUUAAGAUAAAAUUUAAGUGUAGAAGUUUAAAGUUUUGAUCUGUUCGAUCAUUAAAAUCUUACAUGAUCUGAGUUCAAACCGGCGUGAGCCAGGUUGGUUUCUAUCUUUUAUUUUGGGGGUAUAUUUUAGUACGAAAGGAAUAAAUAUUAAAAUUAAAUUUAAAUUAAGAAUUUUAUUAAUUUAUUUAUAAACAAUACAAAUAUUUAUUUUAAUGUGAUAAUAUAUAUAUAUAUAUAUAUAUAUAUCUAAAUUUUAAUGUGUGUUGUUCGAUUAAAAUUUAAUUUGUAAAU